RNAcentral lists this ribosomal RNA (465 nucleotides) under uncultured bacterium. RNAcentral's name for it is "partial 16S ribosomal RNA". It matches the Rfam family "Bacterial small subunit ribosomal RNA", at positions 338 to 795 of the family's 1533-position model. The record is from RNAcentral.
CCUACGGGAGGCAGCAGUAGGGAAUCUUCCACAAUGGGCGAAAGCCUGAUGGAGCAACGCCGCGUGGGUGAAGAAGGUCUUCGGAUCGUAAAACCCUGUUGUUAGAGAAGAAAGUGCGUGAGAGUAACUGUUCACGUUUCGACGGUAUCUAACCAGAAAGCCACGGCUAACUACGUGCCAGCAGCCGCGGUAAUACGUAGGUGGCAAGCGUUAUCCGGAUUUAUUGGGCGUAAAGGGAACGCAGGCGGUCUUUUAAGUCUGAUGGGAAAGCCUUCGGCUUAACCGGAGUAGUGCAUUGGAAACUGGGAGACUUGAGUGCAGAAGAGGAGAGUGGAACUCCAUGUGUAGCGGUGAAAUGCGUAGAUAUAUGUAAGAACACCAGUGGCGAAAGCGGCUCUCUGGUCUGUAACUGACGCUGAGGUUCGAAAGCGUGGGUAGCAAACAGGAUUAGAUACCCGGGUAGUC